Molecule: ribosomal RNA, 303 nt
Filed under: uncultured bacterium
Lineage: Bacteria
Description: partial 16S ribosomal RNA
Rfam family: Bacterial small subunit ribosomal RNA
Source: RNAcentral
AGCAGCCGCCGCGGUAAUACGUAGGUCCCGAGCGUUGUCCGGAUUUAUUGGGCGUAAAGCGAGCGCAGGCGGUUAGAUAAGUCUGAAGUUAAAGGCUGUGGCUUAACCAUAGUACGCUUUGGAACCUGUUUAACUUGAGUGCAGAAGAGGAGAGUGGAAUUCCACGUGUAGCGGUGAAAUGCGUAGAGAUGUGGAGGAACACCAGUGGCGAAGGCGACUCUCUGGUCUGUAACUGACGCUGAGGAGCGAAAGCGUGGGGAGCGAACAGGAUUAGAUACCCCGGUAGUCCCUGUCUCUUAUACA